AGAGUUUGAUCAUGGCUCAGGAUGAACGCUGGCGGCGUGCCUAAUACAUGCAAGUCGAGCGGCAGCGCGAGUAGUUUACUACUGGCGGCGAGCGGCGGACGGCUGAGUAAUACAUAGGAACAUACCCCAAAGUGAGGGAUAACUGCUCGAAAGAGUAGCUAAUACCGCAUGUGCUCUACGGAGUAAAGCUUCGGCGCUUUGGGAAUGGCCUGUGCCUGAUUAGCUUGUUGGUGAGGUAAAAGCUCACCAAGGCGAUGAUCAGUAGCUGGUCUGAGAGGAUGAUCAGCCAGACUGGGACUGAGACACGGCCCAGACUCCUACGGGAGGCAGCAGUAGGGAAUUUUCCACAAUGGGCGAAAGCCUGAUGGAGCAACGCCGCGUGCAGGAUGAAUGCCUUAGGGUUGUAAACUGCUUUUAUUAGUGACGAAUAUGACGGUAACUAAUGAAUAAGGAUCGGCUAACUCCGUGCCAGCAGCCGCGGUCAUACGGAGGAUCCAAGCGUUAUCCGGAAUUACUGGGCGUAAAGAGUUGCGUAGGUGGCAUAGUAAGCGAAUAGUGAAAGCGUGUGGCUCAACCAUACAUCCAUUAUUUGAACUGCUAAGCUAGAAGAUGAGAGAGGUAGAUGGAAUUCCCAGUGUAGGAGUGGAAUCCGUAGAUAUUGGGAGGAACCCGAUGGCGUAGGCAGUCUACUGGCUCAUUCUUGACACUAAUGCACGAAAGCGUGGGUAGCAAACAGGAUUAGAUACCCUAGUAGUCC
This 757-nucleotide ribosomal RNA is filed under the name uncultured bacterium. RNAcentral describes it as "bacterial SSU rRNA". It matches the Rfam family "Bacterial small subunit ribosomal RNA", at positions 8 to 796 of the family's 1533-position model. The record is from RNAcentral.